CGCGGUCCUCGGUAGUGGCUUUCUGGUUGUUCAUCAUGGAUGAAUGACCCGCGAGCCUCGAUCGAAGACCAGU
Neomicrococcus aestuarii is the source of this 73-nucleotide regulatory RNA element. It matches the Rfam family "Actino-pnp RNA". The record is from Rfam. NCBI's taxonomy places the organism in Bacteria, Bacillati, Actinomycetota, Actinomycetes, Micrococcales, Micrococcaceae.